GGCCCGGCCCGGCACCGAGCCCGCGGAGCCUCCGGCGCGGCCACCCGCAGCAUGGCAGGGGCGGUGGUGAGCGGAGCGCAGGUGUCCUACAUUAGUCAGGACUGUGAAGAAAUUCCAGAAUUCCUAGGAAGAAAAUAUGGACACAUGGCAAAAAGGCUAGAUCUUAGCUUCAACUUGCUAAGUUCUUCUCAAAUCAUUCCUGUGCUGCCUGACUGCUAUCUUGGAUGACCCAGAGAUGGACAGUUGUGUUGGCUUCCACUUUAUUUCCACAAAUUCUUCAGUUCUGUGUGACUGCAAAAAUCUUUCCUCUAUUUCCAGGUAUUUUAUUUCACAUAAUAAUGUAGUGCCUACCAACCAUGUUUCUACAGCACAUAACUGUACUUUUGCCUUUUCUUGAAGUCACUGGGACAGUUAUUGCUUUGUGUACAUCAGGGUGGAACUUCUUCACAAAUAUGUGUUGUUCUUUAAUGUGUGUCAGUUCUAGGUGCUGCAUCUGCUGUCUGCUUGCUGUGUCAGAAGAGUAAUACUUGAAAACUAGGGAGGGUAAAUUAACAUGUUGCUCUUCUCUCCUUGUAGAAGCUGAUAGAUGUAGUAAAAUAAUAAAUAUAAUCAAAUUACAAAAGUGAGUGUUAUGAUCAUGAACUUUAAACUAGGAGGCUCAGGAAUGGUAUUUUAUAUAAGCAUACAAAUGAGGUAUAUUUUAUAUAUCUGCAGAGGAGAAAGGUAAAUAGCAUGGUAUUUACUAUAAUUCAUGAACCCCAGCAGAAAAAAAUUCUUAAAGUGUAUUAAACUUAAUCCUUAUGUUAAGGGCUUUUUUCUGUUUUCUUGUUUCUUGUGAAGGCUUCAUCAACAAUCAUAGUCCUGUAAAGCGAUUGCUGUGUAAUAAUCAGAGAUCAUUGUGGAGAAUUGUAAUCAGAAUAAAACCAAAUUUUUGUUUAGUGGACAAAUAAUUAAUUGACUAAGAAGAAGCAAAAAGCAAUAUACAAUCUCAUAAAAGCCAAAAAAAAAGGGACAAAAGUAGAGGAGAUUGAAUGCUUGUCUGUAUUAGUAACAUGUGUCCUACUUUCAGUUCAUGACUUGUGUGACACAGUGCUGUCCUUCUAUUGAAUGGUCUGAACGCCCUGGCAUAGAUGACUUUAAUUCUUGUUCUAAAUGUGAACAAGUAUUAAUUUACUUCACUGAAGAGGAAAUAAGAUAGUAAAGGAAGUUCAUGUUUGGAAAGAGUAGAAAGUUGAUAUUGAUACUGACUUUGCAUUUUGAUAACCCUUUGUGAUGCUUUCUCAUUGCAUGACUUCUGCAGGAGGGUGCUGCUGGGUUACAUGAAGACAAAUAUCUUUGGAACAAAAAGACUUUUCUGUCAAAGCUGGAAGAUGGUUUUGGCUCUUCUUUUUUAUUAUUAUUGUUUUUGAAUUUUUUUCUUCCUGCCCUACUUCAGAGGAAGUCCAAGAAUACUGCUGGCACUGACAAAAGAUGAAAAUAUGAUUUAUGCUGACAUCAUGUAUUACACAAGCAAAUCUGUUCUGUGAAAGACAGUUUUCUGUGGUGUGGAAAUAAAGAAUCAGUGAAUAGUUCUUGGAGGAGUAUUGGUUCAGGCUUUUCUUGCUUCUAUCACCACUGCCCCACCCCUACUUUUCCUUUUCUACUUUGUCUGUCUUUAGGGAUCUUAAUGUUAACCGAAUUUUUUUCAGUCCUUAAGCAUAGCUGCUUCAUGUGGGUUGAUCAAAUGCAAGAAUAAUCUCUGCUGUGAGACUAGAGGCCAUACCCAGCUAUAGCAGUGUUGAUACUGAUUUUCUGACUCCCACAGCAUUUCAUUACAAAUUCCAUUUAGAGGUAGUAAGUUUCCUUUGCUGACAAACUGUAGCAGCAGCACCUACUAAGUUGGGUUGGGUCUACUUAAAAGUUGUUUUCAAACAGUAUUCCAUUUCUGGACAUCUGACGUAGUUUAACUGAACUUUGCCUAUCAAGUGUUGUGGAUAUGACUAGUCACAGUAUUUGUUGAGAUGAUGUUAUCUGCAGCAGCAGAGAAGAAAGCAGGUGAAUAAAAUACAGACAAUAUUCCAACAUUUAAUCUGUUAAAAAGAAACCCAGCUGGAUUAGGUAGGUAGAUUACACUAGUUUUACAGAUAAUUCUAGGCAGUAAGGCUGAAAAGGUGGUGAGGUUAAUUGUGUGAGUGGCUGGAAAGAUGUGAUGACUUAGUGUAAGUCUUAGACUGUCACUUGAGCCAAAUUCUCAGUCCAAAAACCAGUAUCUUGGCUGAGACACUGAGGGAGCUGGGACACUGACCAUCUGUUGGCUGUGGGGAUACAAAUUAUUCCAGAGAGAGGGAUGUAAACCUUGUAAAACCUUUUCAUUUGAAGUUAGGUAAAAUAUGGACUUUUACAGCAGUUUAAUUAAGUUCUUUCAAUUUGUUGGAAUUCUUAACUCCAAGGAAAUACAAAAUACACAGAACCAAUUGGGGUGUUGUCUAAAUUGGCACUUAAUAAAUGCUGCUUGAUCCUUCCAUAAUGGAUAAUAUUUAGCCAACUGCACUCUGCCUAGUGUCUGAGGACCCAGUGCAUCCUUUUUUACUAAAAGAAAAGUAGCAUAAAAAUAGCUGCUUAUACAACUCAUCAGUGCUAAAAACCCUCAAACCAAUGGUACAAAUGUUUGACUGUGAUGACUGUUCCAAAUGACCAAUCCUUUGUUUUUUGAAUAUUGGUUCCCUGUUGUGUAGGUUGGACCUUUGAUAUAAAGUAAGUAUUUAAACAAUUUUUUCUCUUAUAUGCCAUGUGUGCAUUUUUCUUUCCAGCUAGUGCUGUUGUGUGGAGGAGGAGCAAGGUUUGCAGUGGCACACAGCCUUUUCAGAAAAUAGUUUGAAACUUGGUAGUUCUGUCUUGUGUCAGGCAAGAUGCUUCUCGUGAGUUUGUAUGAAGAUUUUUGCCACUGCAAAAACAUAAGAAGGAAGGUGCAGCUGUCCCCACAAAAGCAAAAUCUGGAGUCUCACUGGUAUAUGGAGAUGUUGCCCCUGAGGAAGGCAGGGGCUUCUGGCUCAUGGUCAAUUCUGAGCUUGUUCAGUGCAAUGCAUUGAGUCUCUUGCCCUACCUUUGCCCUGAGUCAGUGCUUUGCAGGGAGCUGAGUUAAUGUAUCUUAUUUCUGUACAAAGCAAGUCCUGCCAUGUGAAUUGGAGUCCUGUCCCUCAUUUCCCCUCACUUUGAGCAGUGCUAUGCUACAUCGUUGUAAUUCCUGAAACGUUGUGAUUGAUUUUUAUUUAAAAUGUGUUAGGCCCCAGCCUUUCCCCAGUUUCCUUUUAACCUUGUCAGAUUUCUCUCCUGUGUUCCUCCUUCUUCUAUUUUGAAACCAUUAAACUCCUGUAAUAUAAAUUGAUUUACACCUCAGCUUUGGUAAGUAUUUUUGAGAAACGUGGAGAAACUAAUGCAUGCAGAAAAUGUUGGGUUUUUUGGAGUGGUGAAAGGAGACCCUAAAUGUUCUGGGCAGAGCUUUGGAGAUGGAGUCCUUGAACACUUUCAGUCAUCUUGUAAGUUAAUCAACAUAAUCUAUAAAGACUACAGCAAAGUUGGUAAGGAUUGUUUCAUUAUCUAUAGAAAACAUAGCAUAGCAGUACUAAUUGUCUAUAUAGUAUAUAUCUCUGUAUACUAUGAUGUAGACUGUCAUGGCCUCUGAAAAGAUGGCUGGUUUUUUCUCCAGUUAAGUGACAGUCAUAUAGCAUGCACUUAACCAUGUUCUUAAUUGUUUUAUAAUACAGGAGUGGAGUUAAUGUCCUCAUGUGCUUUGCUGAGUCAAGAUCUUGGUGGGUUCCUGUACUCAUGUUUCAUGCUGUUAACUCUCUACCAAUGUUCUUUCUGUUAAUAGUGAUCAAGUCACAAAGCAAUUAUACUCCCACAAGCUGUCCUUUAAUAACCUUUGUCAUUUGUCAAAGUGCAUUAGGGCCUUGCAUAUUUUUACAGAGAAGCUACUGGUCUUCAUGAAUUAAUGGAGUGUUCUGAUGUGCCAGCUCAUCUUCCUUGCCAAAUUGCUGUUGAUUCAGAGGGAAACUCACAUCAGUUUAAAGAAAUAUCUUCUACCUUUCUCUUAGACCAAAAAAUUUUCAAACAGGGCUAAAAUCUUAUAUAGCAACAAUCAAUAAACAAUGUUCAUCUGAACCAGCUCAGCCUUCUAGUCUGGCAAAGCUUAGAUUUUAAGCUUUUAAAUUAUCUUUGGAUGUGACUGUAUCUUGUGUUAAACUAGAAAAGGUAUAAUGAUUUUCAUAUGCUAAACUGUCACAGUCUUUUCAUAAGCAUAUAUUUAUGAUGCUACACCUCUGUGAGUAUUUUGGGACUUACGAUUCUGCUGUUUAUACUACAAAGGUGUAACUCAGUGUGAUCUUGUCUUCCCCACUUACUUUGUUUCUUAAGUAAGUGUUUUAACUGCAAGCAGUCAGGGUGUAUUCCUCGUUGUGAUUUGCCAGCAUGAAGUAUGCAUUUGGGGAAGGCAUGGUCUUGAGUUACCUGCUAUAGGGGAACUGUGUGAGAGGGAAAGAGAGCAACUCCCUGAAAAACCAUUUGAUAUUUUGUGAACAGUCUAGUGUUAAAGAAUAAAAGGUAUGAUAAUUCUAUUGCAGUUGUGGUAUUUUAAGCAUAUAAAUUUCCCUUCAGUCCUGAAAACCUCUUCAUCAGGUAGAGAACUCUGAUGCUUAGAGUGCACAUUCCAUCUCUACUUCCGGGAUUGCUUUCUCCUAGGUAAAAAAUGUUGAAGCCUGGUGGAUCACUGUUACUUUGUAGAUGUGUAUGCACUCCAGUAUUCAGUUCUUGGGUAUACCUGGAGACAGAUAAAGUAUAAGAGGUGAAAUACAGGGUAGAUCAUCUCUAGAUUGUCUCCUGGAGUUCUAAAGCUUGUUUGCUUUAACAAAGGAUCAAUAUUUUGCAUUUUAGAACUUCAGAGUUCACUUUUGGCAAAGGUGUGUGAGGCAAACAUUUCUUGUGUAACUUGAAUGAUUGUUCACUGAGGAGAAUUGUUUUCUUAAUAAAACAUGACAUCAAAUGUGCACACAAAAAGUUUUGAAAACUUAUACUUUGGAAAUAGGUGUAUUUUCUGAAAUAGUGUAUAGUUCUUAUAUUUUUUACAGUUAAACACAUUCUUCUAAAGGUAAAUAGUUAUGUAUGUAGUCUGUAGCUUGCUGAAGAGUUUAGUUUUAAGAGAAUGUGAGUAGCAGAGAGUUGAACAGCUGCAAUAGGAUGUGUAGCUCAUUCAAAGUUCUAAGACCACAGAUGCAGUAGUGAGGAAACAGUAUUUCUUUUAUUGAGUGCUAUGGUACCUUUUAAAACUUCUCUGGGUUGACUUUCUGUGUUGUUUUUCCUCGUUAUGUUUCCCAAUAAGUACAAAUAGACCCUUGAUGGAACCAUGAUAUUUUAUAAACUAUUUAAGUAACAUAGACUCUUUAGAAACGAAUAUAAUUAUUCAAAUUUACAACUUAAUAUCCAGCCAAUAUGGAAUAUAUAAUUAGGAGAACACUGAAGGUCAGAUUUUAAGUGCUUGUGUUCUAGAUCUAUGAAAAAAAUAUUAAAAUGAUAUUGAGGAUCAAAACAGCUGUUAAACUCUUAAACAUUUACUGUAUCCUUGGAAAUAGAAUGAACUUUGGUAGCAGCUAUUGUCUUGCUCACAUGUAAUUUUCACUAAAAUAAAGAUUUAUAAAAGCGAGCAUUUAAAACUCCUCUUAAGCUUCCUCAGAUCAUGCUAACCUAGUUUUUCUGUACUAGUCUGAAAUUGAUGCUCAAACAGAGGAGAAGGGAUAAUUGGCCAAUCACUGUGGCUUUGGAAAACACUGGUUUUGUCCCUGCUGAAGGUGGGGUGUUUUCCCUUCUAAUUGCCUCAGAAAUGUUAGUGUCUGUCCCUGUUUUAGUCUGAUCAUCUGAGCUCUGUUUGGUUUUUUGUUGCUGUCCACUCCUGUUGAUUUUUUUUUUCUAUCUGCAGCUUAUAUGCUUUCUACCUCUCAUUAAAAUAGACUAAAAAAUCUGAUUCAUUCUAAAUGAGAUACCUGUUAAUCAGUAAACACUAUUUUCCACGUGUCAGCAUACCAGCUUUUUUCUUUAAAUAGAAAGAUUGUGUUUGUGGUUUGGUAGGGGAAAUAGAGGAGAAGGGGAUUGUAUUUCCUUACAAUUGAAGAUAAUUAGGUUGUUGUAGUUAAGUUAGGUUAUCACAUUAGCUAUUAAAAAGUGCAUCAGUAAAAUGCACAUUGCACUUUCCUUGUCUCUUCAUUUCUUUAGGUGAUAACAGGCAAAAAAUGUGUGGAAUAGGACUCUAAUUUUAUUUUUAACUUAAUAGUCUGAAAUUGAGCAUGGUUACCAGGAGUUCCAAUAUGGGAAGUAGGAAGUUAAUGAGACAAAUUUCUUGUCCUGAAUUUGGAGAUUGCUUUUGUGUGCAUAAAUGUGAACUUGCUUAAGAUAUUCAAGAAUGUUCCAGCUUUGCUGUUGUGGGGUAUCAAGCAUACUGUAAAAUCAGAGAAAUUGGCCCUGUUUUUUUGCAAACUGAGAUGCCUCAGGCAUGUUUGUGCUGCCUAUGUGACAUGUGAAGCAGUCUGAGGUAGCUUCUUUAACAUCUAGGCUGAAGAGGGCAAAGAGGACACCAGGUUCCAGUCUUGGCUUCCUGUGGAAUCUUCUGGGAGAAGUGUUCAGAAUGUCUACAUAAGGAGCUCAUCAUAACCAGAUUGAAUACUUCCUAUUUAUUAAAGUAACUGGUGUCACAAACAAAUCUGUUGGAACAAAUCAAAUGUCUAAGAAAUCAUGGAGUAUUAAGAUAUUGGUUUUUAUCCCAAUGGUGUUUCCUGACUGUUACUUCCAUAUGUUGCUCUUUGUACUAUGCUUACAAACUGCAAAGAAAAAACCUUGAUUAUGUACAAAAAUUUGUAGUGUGAGUAAGCCUUACAAGUUCCAUUCUCUGAAGCAUGGAAGUUAAUUCCUGCUCAAGGAUACAACGAACUGCAUCUCUGUUCCCAUUUUUAACUUCUUUUUUCCUCCCAGUCAGUGAAGAGAGAAGAAUAUUGGUUGUGGGAAAAGGCCUCAUCUGGCUAUAAAGAUAGUGCCUAAAAUCUGUUAUUAUUUCAGUUGCUUCUUUUGUCUUUCUUUUCUGUCUCACUUUUUCCCCCAAAGAUUGGCCCAACAUUUGUGAAUUUUAGGGGAGGUGACUCUAUCCCUUUUUAAAGCAAGACACUUGGAAAAGUAGGGAUAUAACUAUUACUUGACAUUCAGGCUGAGCAUGUACCUCCUUGGUUUUAUGGAAGUGCUUUUUUUUUGUGGAGCCUUAAAGGAGCUUUGGGAAGGCUAAUUGUACUUUAUUGAUAGACCCUUUACUUUGCUACCAGCUCUCAUUAUCAUACUCCUUGUAUUUUUUAUUUUAUUAUUUUUUUAUGGUUGACUGUGUUUCAAAAAAAAAAAAUCAAAUCUGAUGGUUGAGUGAACGCGGCCAAACUUGCAAAACCUUUAUACCCAUCCCCAGUAGCUGUAAGGUUUAUUAGCCAGAGUGAUGAAUAAGAAAAUGUGGAUGUUGAGUACAUGACUUACCCUCUCCUUGCCCUAUACAUGCAUCUGUAAAGUAGGGGCUAAAACACUAAACCACACCAAAUGCUGAUCCUUAAUGCAUGUUGGUAAAUCAUUUACUAUUGCCAAAUACACUACAGAAAUGCCUUGUUAAUGUUACCUAAAUUAUGUCACUGGUCAAAAAAUAGAAUGAAAUAUAUUCUCGCUUGUGCUGCAGAAUUUAUGGUUCAGCAUAUUGAUUUCCAGCUUGAUGAUCUUAGAACAUGCUAAAGUUGGUAGUGAUCUGUGAUAGCAUUGGUGUAGUAUUAAUCAAAGGCAAAAACAUUUCUGAUCCAAGAAUUCCAAAGCAUGUUAUGUACUUUGCUAUAUAGAGUUAAAUUUCUCCUCCCAUGCCCAAGUAAAUUGCAAAUUAGCACUAAUAAAUCACAUUGCAGCAGUUGGUAAGAAGUGAAAGUAUAUUAAUAAUUAAAUAGUUCUUUUCAGCCACCCCUCCCCCUUCCUUUUUUAUGUGGUGAUUUUCUAGACUCAAAAUCAGCGUGUCUCAUGCAGGCUAUCUAUAAUAUAUAGUUGUUUCAAAUCAGCUUUACUUACUGAGCUUUUUCUAGUAAUGGAGCUCUGUCAGCAAAAAGCAUAUGCACCCGCAAAUGAUGAACGAUGGACUUGUGUCAAAUGGAAGCUUGAAAGGUGCUUCUGUAGUUAAAUGGAUUAGUCUGCACCAGAAGUUCAAAACUCCUCAAGUGUAAUUGUUUCAGAGAAAAGGUAUCCCUGGAUUGAUAGGGGCAGCUAAGCAAGGAGAGCUGGAGGAAGAGCUGCUUUAUCAGAUCUAAGUGAGGGCUUACUAAUCCACAGCAAGUAGGCUUUGCUGUGACAAGAUUGCUGGCUUGAUGCUUCUGCGAGUUUUCUUCUUUUUUGUAAAUGUGAUAUUUGUAAAGAUUUUAAUUUAUAUUAGUGAAAGACAUAUUUUGGGUUUUUUUUUUUCUUACAAAAUUAGUAAGCUUAAUUCCAUUUAUGUGGCCAUGUGCAACAGUGAUUUCAAAAUAACCUGUAACAUUUUUCAUACACUUGAUAAAAAUGUUGGUUCUUGUUUCAGUAGUAGUAUUAGCUAUAAAACCAACUUCGUGUACUGUAGUUAUUUUGCAGUUACACACCAAGUAAGGUAAUUAGGGAUUGCUAUAUAAAUGCAAAAAACCCUGCAUGUAAAUUUUAAUUUUAUAUAAAUAGUGUUCUAUUUCUGUUGCUCAUUAAAUAUUUCAUCAUUUGUGUUGUUAAUGUGUAAAUCUCGCUCAGAAGAAAAUAUUUGCAGGGGAAGAAAUUUACAUUAGGAAUUAAACAAUUGAAAUAUUUUUCCUGAGUUUUUUUUUUUUUUUUUUUUUUUUUUUUUUUUUUUUUUUAUAUCCUUUCGGCUGUACUUAAACUGGGUGUUUCAUAUGAGUGUUCAACAAAAGAAUAGCUAUAAGCAGGGAGGCUUUCACUGCUCCUCAGUCUUUCCAUUUUGCCAGUUUUUCUUUCUCUUCUGCUUCUUUGCAAUUGUUAGCCUUCAUGUGAACUGAAAGGUACUUCAAAACACUGGAAGAAAAUAGUCUGAAAGCUUCAUACGCAUUUCUUCAUGGUAAAGAGAAGUGAAGAAGUUGAAGACUUUUUCCACUGACAGGUGUUUGUGUGUCAGAGCAAUGAAUGCUUUUGAUGGCAAACCCACUUGCUUUUCUUCAUUGUAGUCUUCUUUCUAAAUAUUAAAAAAAAGACAAAUUCUGACAACAAAAAUUCUCCAAACUGUAUAAUAGAAAGCUUGCUUUAUUUAUUUAUAUUUUAUAAAAGAAGAUAUUUAAAUUAUUUCACUGGCUAUUCACUUUCUUCUUGUGUGGGUGAAAAAAACCCAGCAGUUGAGCACUGCCUAGAAUGGUGAAGGCACUUUUUAGCUGUAUCCUCAUUAUGAUAUAAAAAUAUUGUCAUCUGAUGAUUAGUUGGUACAAAACUUCAUUGUCUUACAGACUGCACACUGUCCUUUAAAAUAUUAUUAAAGUGUCCCAUCUUCCAGAACCUAAAACUAUGCUAAAUAACCACUUAUUUUUAAAAGUUGUUUUCACAUUUUUCAGUCCUCUGGUGAUAGUUUAUUAGCAUGGCACUUGGCUGUCAUUUACUUAGUUUAUUUUCUGGCUAAAAAUUGAAGAUUAUUUUGCAGGUGCUAAAUGUUCUGAUCUUUGGUUGAUUUCACAUAUUAAGCCAUGCAAUGCAAUUGCAUCACAUGGAAUUGCAUAUGCAUCAACAGCACAGCAAAAACAACCAUUUGAAAAAGAUUAAAAACAAGAGUUGAGAAAAAUGUAAGUAAGCCUGUUCUGUCAAACACGAGAAAAACUCUUUGUGUUUAAUAUGAAAAAAGUUGAAUAAAU
RNA transcript from Melospiza georgiana, 9896 nucleotides. It is a transcript of the gene named leucine rich melanocyte differentiation associated, with no coding region annotated. NCBI's taxonomy places the organism in Eukaryota, Metazoa, Chordata, Aves, Passeriformes, Passerellidae. The record is from RefSeq and is a predicted model, not a curated record. The transcript has 4 exons.